GACGAACGCUGGCGGCGUGCCUAAUACAUGCAAGUAGAACGCUGAAGGAGGAGCUUGCUCUUCUGGAUGAGUUGCGAACGGGUGAGUAACGCGUAGGUAACCUGCCUGGUAGCGGGGGAUAACUAUUGGAAACGAUAGCUAAUACCGCAUAACAUUGACUAUUGCAUGAUAGUCAAUUAAAAGGUGCAAAUGCACCACUACCAGAUGGACCUGCGUUGUAUUAGCUAGUUGGUGGGGUAACGGCUCACCAAGGCGACGAUACAUAGCCGACCUGAGAGGGUGAUCGGCCACACUGGGACUGAGACACGGCCCAGACUCCUACGGGAGGCAGCAGUAGGGAAACUUCGGCAAUGGACGGAAGUCUGACCGAGCAACGCCGCGUGAGUGAAGAAGGUUUUCGGAUCGUAAAGCUCUGUUGUAAGAGAAGAACGAGUGUGAGAGUGGAAAGUUCACACUGUGACGGUAUCUUACCAGAAAGGGACGGCUAACUACGUG
RNAcentral lists this ribosomal RNA (495 nucleotides) under uncultured bacterium. RNAcentral's name for it is "partial 16S ribosomal RNA". It matches the Rfam family "Bacterial small subunit ribosomal RNA", at positions 28 to 507 of the family's 1533-position model. The record is from RNAcentral.